Molecule: long non-coding RNA, 972 nt
Organism: Peromyscus maniculatus bairdii (prairie deer mouse)
Lineage: Eukaryota; Metazoa; Chordata; Mammalia; Rodentia; Cricetidae
Source: RefSeq, a predicted model, not a curated record
GACUGAAUUCAAAGUUCAGAGGACACUACAAAACCAAGAGCUCCAACUCUGGGCGACACCCUUGGCAACCCAACCCUGGGCAGUGGGAGUGACUAUCCCUGCGGGCUCAGGACCUUCACAGCCUCCUUGCUUGCCUAUCUCUUAGCAUAUGAGAUCUCUCUCCUGACUUCAUAAUUACUUUGGUAGAUUUCUCUGUGGCCUCAUGUAAUAAAGGCUGGCCUGUCCAUUCACUAUGUAGCUGAAGCUAGCCUUUGACCUGGGAUCCUCGCUUCAACUUCCUGGAGUACUAGGCAGCCUGCCAAGUUUCACAUUUCAACUGCACUAUGACAUGCAAGAGAAAGCCAAGUCUACUCACUGGAGGGUCAUCUACCUACUUAUAAGCACUAAUCAAGUCAGCCAUAGUAAGAAAACAUGCGAAGCUUUUGCUAAAAAAUGAUCCAACAGUUGCAGGGGACCGGACAUCCAUGGCAAAACACCAACACACAUAAAAUAAAGGUACCAACUGUAACAGCUACACUUUCUACAUGAACUACACUUGGAAGUUACUAAAUCCCAAGCAGCAGGGCACACCUGGAAGGGAUUGUUCUUGGUAUGAUCAUUUGAAGAGGGAGACUCGCCCUAAAUCCGGAUCAUGAGGUCAGAAGAUCCACCUAAACCACCUCCUGGGAGCAGCUCCCAUAAAAGGACAAGGAAGAAGGAAGCUGGUGCUUUCUCAGCCCUUACUCUCGAUGACAAGUUCAUCUAUCCCGAGUCAUUUCUUCCCUAGUGCUAGAACUUACACUACGGGAUUCCACCGGGGACUGAAACCUGGCAGUUCUCAGACCUCCCAAAGACUCCAGCACAGACUGGGAAUGCUGAGACAUCCAGUCUUGUGGACUGAACUACUUUUGAAUCCUUGGCCAUUCUGUCAGGACACAGCUAAUGUUGGACUACUCGGGCCACAGCCUGUAAGGGGCUCUAAUAAAUCAGAAA